This 76-nucleotide transfer RNA is filed under the name hydrothermal vent metagenome. RNAcentral's name for it is "tRNA-Ala-TGC". It matches the Rfam family "tRNA". Rfam says of the family: Transfer RNA (tRNA) molecules are approximately 80 nucleotides in length. Their secondary structure includes four short double-helical elements and three loops (D, anti-codon, and T loops). Further hydrogen bonds mediate the characteristic L-shaped molecular structure. tRNAs have two regions of fundamental functional importance: the anti-codon, which is responsible for specific mRNA codon recognition, and the 3' end, to which the tRNAs corresponding amino acid is attached (by aminoacyl-tRNA synthetases). tRNAs cope with the degeneracy of the genetic code in two manners: having more than one tRNA (with a specific anti-codon) for a particular amino acid; and 'wobble' base-pairing, i.e. permitting non-standard base-pairing at the 3rd anti-codon position. The record is from RNAcentral.
GGGGGUAUAGCUCAAUUGGAAGAGCGGUUGCUUUGCAAGUAGCUGGUUAAGAGUUCAAAUCUCUUUACCUCCACCA